GGCGUGUCCGUGGCGUGCCCUCAAAGUUGGCCAUUUAGAACAAAUGUCACACUGUGAUGUCAUUUUGGCCUUUCAGGGCUUCUAUUUGAAUGAUUUCCUCUGACACGUUCUAACGGAUCUUCUUCAAAAUUGGGCAGUACAGUCACAACAUGGUGCUGAAUGAACGCAUUUCAUUUUGUGACUGUACGUUGAAGGGCGUGUCCGUGGCGUGCCGUCAAAGUUGGCCAUUUUGAAGCCCGUGGUCCUGUAUUUGAACAAACAAACUCCUUGAGACUUUAUCAGAUCUGCUUCAAAACUUGACAGUACUCUUGAAUAAUCUUGCUGAUUACAAGUUGUGCUAUUUAUGACUGUACGUUGAAGGGCGUGUCCCAGGUGUCUCGUCAAAGUUGGACAUUUUGAAUUCUGUGGUCUUUUUUUUCAAAGUGAUGAAACACAAACACCCCUCCGCUCCCACUAGCCACAUCUACAAACCAUAUUUCCUAGGGAGUAUUGUUCGUGGAGCAUAGUGUGAAACCGCUGGAAGUCACUUAUUAAAUUGCAAGAUAAAUAGGGGACUUAUCAAAUCGACUUCAAAAUUGGACAGUCUUAUAAAAACAAAGUGUACAUGAAGAAUUGAGCUAUUUGUGACUGUACGUCAAACUGCGUGCCACUGACCCCUUGUCGAAUUCAGAUGAUUUUCCAUUAAGCGGUACUCAUAACUUCAGUGUGCAAUGUCCAAUUUCCAAUAAACUUCAUAUAUUCUGUAA
Dicentrarchus labrax (European seabass) is the source of this 746-nucleotide long non-coding RNA. RefSeq lists it as uncharacterized. The record is from RefSeq and is a predicted model, not a curated record. NCBI's taxonomy places the organism in Eukaryota, Metazoa, Chordata, Actinopteri, Moronidae. The transcript is spliced from 2 exons.